This is a long non-coding RNA of Sinocyclocheilus grahami, 171 nucleotides long. RefSeq lists it as uncharacterized. The record is from RefSeq and is a predicted model, not a curated record. The transcript has 3 exons. Lineage: Eukaryota; Metazoa; Chordata; Actinopteri; Cypriniformes; Cyprinidae.
CCCACAAAGUAUAAAUGAAAGUCAAUGGACAGAGUAUUCAUGUGGACGUUCUCUUAACAAUGGAAGGGACAUCAACGUUUUGGAGGGAAGCAACAUGGAAAACAACAGCAGCAAUGCAGCAGAUUUUAAUGGGAAAAUCCAUUACAUGGCUUCAGACGACUUGGAAUAUAU